GAACAUGUACAAAAGGUAGAAUACAAAAUCUGAUUUUUUUAGAAGUAAGAAAUUUGUUAGAAACUGUAUUCUCAACGUUUUAGAACAAAUUUUAUCUAUCAAAAAACAUAAUUUUUGUGAAAAAAAAGAAAAAAAUAUUCUUUAAAUGUUCUCCAGAACUACAUAUCAACAUGUUUUUUGAGUUUCCCUUCUUAAAUUUGCUUAAAAUUGGAUUUUU
RNAcentral lists this long non-coding RNA (217 nucleotides) under Capsella rubella. RNAcentral describes it as "long non-coding RNA (CRUB_LNC000899)". The record is from RNAcentral. Lineage: Eukaryota; Viridiplantae; Streptophyta; Magnoliopsida; Brassicales; Brassicaceae.